Molecule: long non-coding RNA, 529 nt
Organism: Gallus gallus (chicken)
Lineage: Eukaryota; Metazoa; Chordata; Aves; Galliformes; Phasianidae
Exons: 3
Source: RefSeq, a predicted model, not a curated record
AUGGUUUGCUGCCCUAGCCCCCACAUCAGAUUUUGCUUUUAAGGACUUUGCAGGGGAGUCUGUUACCUAGCAGUGGAGGGAAAGAACAGAUAAAGAGAAGCAUCUGCUCCUCAAGAAAGAGGAGCAGCCUCCUGAACAAGUCCAGGAAGCAAUUCCUGACGAGGGAGAGAAGCCACGCUACCUGAAUUAUCUGAAGAGGCCUCAGGUGGAGGCAGGGUGAGAAAGGAUUUCAGGACGAGUUAUCCCUAUGAGCUGAGCACAACAAGCCACGGGCAGCAAAAUGAUCUCACGUGCAAGAAACCAGACUUGGGACAGGCUUCAAACUUCCACUUUCUGGGAGUGCAACAGGCUGGUGGCAUGAGAAAACCAGUCUGCAGCUGCUUGAAGCCAGCUAACUUCUGUGAGCUAGCAACCUGAUCUUUCACACAGAUCCUCGAGUCAACUAGCUGUAAAGAAGGAAGCUGAUGAGAUUUGUAUGUACCUUCAAUAAAGUGAAGGUGGGGUUUGUUGUUUGUUUAAUGGCCCAUAA